Molecule: ribosomal RNA, 365 nt
Filed under: uncultured eukaryote
Lineage: Eukaryota
Description: partial 18S ribosomal RNA
Rfam family: Eukaryotic small subunit ribosomal RNA
Source: RNAcentral
CAAUAGCGUAUAUUUAAGUUGUUGCAGUUAAAAAGCUCGUAGUCGGAUUUUGGCUGAGAACGAUCGGUCCGCCGUUAGGUGUGCACUGAUUGGUCUCAGCUUACUGGUGAGGAGGUGUGCUUCACGGCCACUUAGUCACCGUGGUUACUUUGAAAAAAUUAGAGUGUUCAAAGCGGGCUUACGCUUGAAUAUAUUAGCAUGGAAUAACACCAUAGGACUCCUGUCCUAUUUCGUUGGUCUCGGGACGGGAGUAAUGAUUAAGAGGAACAGUUGGGGGCAUUCGUAUUUCAUUGUCAGAGGUGAAAUUCUUGGAUUUAUGAAAGACGAACUUCUGCGAAAGCAUUUGCCAAGGAUGUUUUCAUUGA